Perca fluviatilis (European perch) is the source of this 203-nucleotide long non-coding RNA. RefSeq lists it as uncharacterized. Lineage: Eukaryota; Metazoa; Chordata; Actinopteri; Perciformes; Percidae. The transcript has 3 exons. The record is from RefSeq and is a predicted model, not a curated record.
CCUCGGUUUUAAAACAAACGACCCUGCUGGAGGCAAGCUGCUUUUCAUGACAAAGAUGAAUAAAUUUCAGAUCAGUUUAUGCCUUUGCAUCUUGCUGUUCCAGUUUCAAGAAGUUAAGGAAGAUAACUGGAGAUGUGAUAACGAUACCAGAAGACUGAGAAGAAACUGCCCCUCAUUAGAAAGAUGAUGGAGACCACAUUUCC